Molecule: long non-coding RNA, 3761 nt
Organism: Dioscorea cayenensis subsp. rotundata (Guinea yam)
Lineage: Eukaryota; Viridiplantae; Streptophyta; Magnoliopsida; Dioscoreales; Dioscoreaceae
Exons: 3
Source: RefSeq, a predicted model, not a curated record
UUAUCAGUGAAUUUUUUUCUGGUUAUCAUGGUUUCUUUUGUUGUUAUUGUGCAAUGUACCUAUUGGUGAUGUUAACAAUUCUGACUCUGUUGUGCAAUUGAUCCUCAUUUUUUUUGUACCAUAUCUGAUUUUGUGUGUGUAUUGUCAUGAGACAGUUAGACCACAAUGAAUGUUGGUCUCUGAUUGAUACUAGCUGAUGUCAAAGGUUUUUAUUUGUAGCAUCCAUUUGAAAAGAGAGAGAGAGAGAGAUUGUUUCACAUUUUAUAAGAAAAUAACUUCAUGCUAAAUUUUCUUGUUUCCUUGUUCUUGGCUUGUUGCACUUUGAUUUUAUUUGAAUAGAAUUUUACUUCCAAAAGGAAUUAAAUGACUUCUACUCUUGAUGGUUCUUAUGAUACUUGGGUACAAAGAGUUGUUCAAUAUACUUCUUCCUCAAUUUCUUUGAUUUUCCUUGUCAUUUUACUUAAUCAAUAUAUAUCCUACUAGUUAGUGAGAAUGCAUUAACAAUGAUUGCCACAACAAGAUUACCUAUUAUCAGAUUCUCUUAUUCGAUAUUAGAAGUAGCUCACAGAACUAAAACUCAUUUUGUACAAAUUAAAGUCAUUUGGUUUUUGAAUAUGUGAAAUGUUUUGCUAAUGUUACAUGCAAUUUGUUUUCCACAUGUGCUUCCACAUUAUUUUCUUUGGUUUGUUUUAAACUUUUUGCUUUGUAAAUUUUUCCCCUUGUGUUCAUGGUCUCAUAUAUCAUUGUCAUACUUUAUGAAUUUUCUGGCCUGCUUAUCAUGGUCUCUUCUUAUUGGGUCUUUUCUUCUUGUUAUCAUGCAUUUGAUGUAUAUAUGUGUGUGUUUGUAUAUAUAUGUACUACUAUAGAUGGGAUUUAUUUUCUCUCCUUAAAAUUUUGUUUCUAUUGUGUUAUGGUGGUUUUUGUUGUUGACAUUUUUUAUAUGUUGUGCAAUGGGUCCUCAUUUUUUAUGCUAACCUGCAGUGUUUCCACAUUAGAUUCUUUGGUUUGUUUUGAAAUGUUUACUCUCUUAUUUUCUUUUUUGUCAUGUUUUUCUAGCCUUUUGCUGUUGUCAUGGUUUCUUCUAAUGGACAUAUACAUAUACUUUUUCGUAUUAUUUUCCCUCAUUGAAUUGUUACCCUCUUGUAUUAUCAAGGCUUUAUAUUGUUAACAUGAAUGCUUUGUUGUGCAAUGGUGCCUCAGUUUUUAUGCUGACCUAUUCGACAGCAUACUUCCAUAUUAAUUUUGUUAAGAUUGGAUUGAAAUUUUUUGUGGUGUUGCCUGACUAUAAGACGUUAUGUGUCACCCCUUCAUAAUAUUAUUUUGUGGUAUGUUUUGUCUUAUAUUUUUGUUUUUCUACUAGACUACAUCUAUUUGUUUAUGUCAUUGGCUUCUUCACUUUUCAUCUACCAUGUACAUAUAUCAGGCUUAUUGUGGAUAGUGCUAUGAUUUAUUAAUAAGCUACAAAUAUGUAUUGCUUAACUUGUACUACUAAAUUGUAUUGCUAAGUGCUAUGAUCUAUUAAUCCUAUUGUUCUUAUAGUUUCUUUAUUUUUGGAAUUUUUCUCAAGAUAAUGGAUAACAUAGUCUACCUUAUGUCUGAUCAGUUUCACAUUUCACAUUAGGUUUGCUUAUGUUGCAUCUCCUUUAACAUGCUUCUUACUUCCUGCAUGUAUUAGAUGGCAUGUUUUCAAUAAAUUAUGAAUGGCAAACACUACAAUAGGGCCACAUACAUAGCAAUUUGAUAGCAAGUUUAAUUAAAACAAUAUUUCAUUACCAAAUCAUGUAGAUGGAUAAUUAGGCUUUAAAUGAGCGAGUGAGACUUUUGGCAGCAACAUUCACUACAAUUGUUGUAAUUAUUGUCUUUUUAAUUAAAGAGAUGCACCUAACUCGGGAUGCAAGACAUAGGGAACCUUCAAUAUUCCAAGACAUAAUUAGGAAGAAACACAUGGAAUGUAUUUUAAAGAGUGGCCGAGACUAUAGUGUCAAUUACCUUAGGAUGGACCUAUGCCUUUCAUGCAUUUGCCAUCUAUUAUGCAUAACAAGCACCUGUUCGUAGGCAGCAUACACAUAUUAUAGAGGAACAAUUGGAAAUAUUCCUGCACAUAGUUGGUCACAACACCAAGAAUUGGAUCAUGCCAGUUAAGUUUCUUCGCUCUGGGAAAACAAUUAGUUGGUAUGUUAACAAUGUUGCCUGAGCUAUAUGUGCCAUAGGUGAUAACUUCAUUCACCCCCUCUCCCCUCGUGGGCACGAGCAGCUCCUGCCAUCCUGAAAUUGAGUCUAGCACAACUUGGUACACAUAUUUUAAAGUAAGGAUUCAAUCGACCAAAAAAAAAAAGAUUCUAAUAAAACUCUCAAAGCACUAAUGCAAAUUCAUUCAUUUAUGCUUGUCGUAUAGGAUUACAUAGGUAUAUUGGAUAGGACGCAGAUUGAUGUGUCGUCCCUCCACAAGAAUUACCUUACUUUCGUGGUCGAAAGGGCCUAACCCAAAAUAUUCUCACAAUGGUGAAUCCUAAUUUGAAAUUCACAUAUGUUGCCGGGUUGAGUAAAAUAGGUAAAUGACUUUACAGGCUUGCGUGAUGCAAUAUCACAACGAGAGCCUGAUGGUUUGAUGUUAAUAGAAGGUAAGAAAAUUAUAUUUUAGAUCAUAUAACCUUAAAAGUAGUCCUAUUUGAUGAUUGUCUUUCCUUAUAGGGAAACAUUAUUUGGUAGACGCUGGUUACACUACAAUGAAUGGCCUUGUAGCACAAUAUCGAGGUGUUAGAUACUACUUAAAAGAACAUAGUGGAAGACCACCAACAAAUCCCAAGGAACUCUUUAACCUUAGGCAUUCAAUGUUGUGCUCAUGAGUCAAGAGAGCAUUUUCCACUCUUAAAAAUAGAUUCAAAAUUCUCACCUUACACCCUUUCUUUUCAUUUAAGGCACAAGUAAGAUUAGUUCUUGAGUUGCAUCAUUCAUAACUACAUAGCUAGUGUUGAUCAGAACAACAAGAUUUUGAAUGAAGUUCACAGGAAGAAGAAUAUAGACAAAUGGUGGAGCUAGAAUAAAGUAGCGAUUCACAUGUGGAUUCGCUAUAGAGGUUUUGUGUAACCCUUGCAGCAUGUAUUUUUAUUUUUAUUUUUAACUUGCUAUGCAUUAUAAAUCCAUGCUCUCUACACUAUAACAUGUUUUUUUUCUUAUUUACCAUUGUAUGUCUUUUUAGUACUUAUGCUAAAUUUGAUUUACACAAAUGGCUUCAUUUAUUUUUCAUUAGAAAACCAAGCAAAAUGGAGCAAGUAGCUAGGGAAAUGUCUCAAUUGUUAAAAGUCUUUUAAGCACUCAACAUUUGUGUUAGUUGUUGUCACAUGAACACAAGAUUCAAGAUUGGUUUCAGCUGUGAAAAUGUAGAGAAUCACUACAAAACAUUCAAGGCACAUUAUGUUGAAAUUAAAAGGCAAGAGAGCUCGGCGGGUUCGGCUGGGAUGGCACGACCAAAACAAUCAUUCUUGACCCAAUUGUAGCACUCACAUUCAUUGAGGAGUGUGAAAGUCAAGCUAGAAGGUUCAUGGUGAGGAUGAUGGCUCUCAAACAACUUUGGAAUGAACAAUUUCUCACUCUAAUGGAAUGAAUCACCUCUUUCCAUGUUGUUGCGUUCUUGGUCAUCCUGGACUGGAUGCUGAUUUUCUUAUCAUCUUUUCAUUUUUCCUUAUGUAUUUAAUGCAUUUCUGCACUUCUGGACUACAUGUAUUUCUACAUUUCACACUUAAUGCAUCUUUAUUUUCCUA